RNAcentral lists this long non-coding RNA (716 nucleotides) under Hordeum vulgare. Its description in RNAcentral is "long non-coding RNA (HVUL_LNC011107)". Lineage: Eukaryota; Viridiplantae; Streptophyta; Magnoliopsida; Poales; Poaceae. The record is from RNAcentral.
AACAUAAGCAAAUUUCUUAGAUUUCAUGAACAAUAGGUCACAUUCACAAUUCAAUAAUAGUAGAUGUUACAAAUUACCACCACGAGGAACAAACAAGCAUGUGACACAUGAAAAUGAAUAAAAAAUACUCCUAUUGCAUGUAUAAGAAACUAAAAUUUGCAAAAUGGACUUGUAAUUACAUAAACUAACCCAUGCUAUGCAAUUAAAACAAUUGUAUAUUGAGCACGAGUUCAAAAGCAUCCAUGUUUAAAACAAACAUCAACUUGCUAGAACCGCAACUUACGAGCGUAGUCCUCAUGUUUGAAGGAGUCAAACACAACUUCAAGCUAUGAAGAACAUGAGUAACAUCAACUCCAGUUGUAGCAUCAUGUUCCUCCUCUUGAGAGGAUACUACAUUCUUAUGUGCAAGUUCUCUAGCAUUUUGUACAACUAUGAUUGCAACCUUACCAGGACGUUGAUUAAAAUGAACACGAGAAAAUGAUGGACGCACACCCGCGACCAUGGUUUAUCCAAAAAAGUAAAAUUUAGAAAGUUGUAGGUUAACAAAAAAAAUUGGAAAUGAAUAUAUUGGGUUUUGUAAGUCAGUAUAACCCUUAGAUGUGUAUUGGUCCCUUUUAUCUUUAAAUCCAAGGACUAAGUGAGGUUCAUUCUCUUGAAAGCACAAAUAGAGUUCAUCACCAACACAAAGACCAUGGUUAGAAUAAAUUUGGUCCAAU